GGGGAUUUGGCUCAGUGGUAGAGCACUUGCCUGGCAAGCACAAGGCCCUGGGUUCAGUCCCCAGCUCCG
RNAcentral lists this transfer RNA (69 nucleotides) under Rattus norvegicus (Norway rat). It matches the Rfam family "tRNA". From Rfam's summary of the family: Transfer RNA (tRNA) molecules are approximately 80 nucleotides in length. Their secondary structure includes four short double-helical elements and three loops (D, anti-codon, and T loops). Further hydrogen bonds mediate the characteristic L-shaped molecular structure. tRNAs have two regions of fundamental functional importance: the anti-codon, which is responsible for specific mRNA codon recognition, and the 3' end, to which the tRNAs corresponding amino acid is attached (by aminoacyl-tRNA synthetases). tRNAs cope with the degeneracy of the genetic code in two manners: having more than one tRNA (with a specific anti-codon) for a particular amino acid; and 'wobble' base-pairing, i.e. permitting non-standard base-pairing at the 3rd anti-codon position. The record is from Rfam by way of RNAcentral. Lineage: Eukaryota; Metazoa; Chordata; Mammalia; Rodentia; Muridae.